UCCCUGGUAGCUCAGUCAGUAAAGAAUCUGCCUGCAGUGCAGAAGAUCCCAGUUCAGUCUCUGGCUAGGGGA
Molecule: transfer RNA, 72 nt
Filed under: Ovis aries (sheep)
Lineage: Eukaryota; Metazoa; Chordata; Mammalia; Artiodactyla; Bovidae
Rfam family: tRNA
About the family: Transfer RNA (tRNA) molecules are approximately 80 nucleotides in length. Their secondary structure includes four short double-helical elements and three loops (D, anti-codon, and T loops).
Source: Rfam by way of RNAcentral